AACGAACGCUGGCGGCAUGCCUAACACAUGCAAGUCGAACGAGACCUUCUGGUCUAGUGGCGCACGGGUGCGUAACGCGUGGGAACCUGCCCUUAGGUUCGGAAUAACUCCCCGAAAGGGGUGCUAAUACCGGAUAAUGUCUUCGGACCAAAGAUUUAUCGCCUUUGGAUGGGCCCGCGUUGGAUUAGCUAGUUGGUAGGGUAAAAGCCUACCAAGGCGACGAUCCAUAGCUGGUCUGAGAGGAAGAUCAGCCACACUGGGACUGAGACACGGGCCAGAAUACUACGGGAGGCAGGAGGGGGGAAUAUUGGACAAUGGGGGAAAGGCCGAGACAACAAUGCCGGGGGAGUGAUGAAGGCCUUAGGGUUGUAAAGAUCUUUUACCCGGGAUGAUAAUGACAGUACCGGGAGAAUAAGCUCCGGCUAACUCCGUG
This 433-nucleotide ribosomal RNA is filed under the name uncultured bacterium. Its description in RNAcentral is "partial 16S ribosomal RNA". It matches the Rfam family "Bacterial small subunit ribosomal RNA", at positions 29 to 507 of the family's 1533-position model. The record is from RNAcentral.